RNAcentral lists this ribosomal RNA (464 nucleotides) under Vreelandella stevensii. Its description in RNAcentral is "partial 16S ribosomal RNA". It matches the Rfam family "Bacterial small subunit ribosomal RNA", at positions 338 to 795 of the family's 1533-position model. The record is from RNAcentral. Lineage: Bacteria; Pseudomonadati; Pseudomonadota; Gammaproteobacteria; Oceanospirillales; Halomonadaceae.
CCUACGGGUCGCUGCAGUGGGGAAUAUUGGACAAUGGGCGAAAGCCUGAUCCAGCCAUGCCGCGUGUGUGAAGAAGGCCUUCGGGUUGUAAAGCACUUUCAGUGGGGAAGAAAGCCUUGGGGCUAAUACCCUCGAGGAAGGACAUCACCCACAGAAGAAGCACCGGCUAACUCCGUGCCAGCAGCCGCGGUAAUACGGAGGGUGCGAGCGUUAAUCGGAAUUACUGGGCGUAAAGCGCGCGUAGGCGGUCUGAUAAGCCGGUUGUGAAAGCCCCGGGCUCAACCUGGGAACGGCAUCCGGAACUGUCAGGCUAGAGUGCAGGAGAGGAAGGUAGAAUUCCCGGUGUAGCGGUGAAAUGCGUAGAGAUCGGGAGGAAUACCAGUGGCGAAGGCGGCCUUCUGGACUGACACUGACGCUGAGGUGCGAAAGCGUGGGUAGCAAACAGGAUUAGAUACCGAGUAGUC